UAUGUAGGGUGCGAGCGUUGUCCGGAAUUAUUGGGCGUAAAGGGCUCGUAGGCGGUUUGUCGCGUCGGGAGUGAAAUCCACUGGCUUAACUGGUGGCUUGCUUUCGAUACGGGCAGACUGGAGGUAUGCAGGGGAGAACGGAAUUCCUGGUGUAGCGGUGAAAUGCGCAGAUAUCAGGAGGAACACCGGUGGCGAAGGCGGUUCUCUGGGCAUGUUCUGACGCUGAGGAGCGAAAGUGUGGGGAGCGAACAGG
This 253-nucleotide ribosomal RNA is filed under the name uncultured bacterium. Its description in RNAcentral is "partial 16S ribosomal RNA". It matches the Rfam family "Bacterial small subunit ribosomal RNA", at positions 524 to 776 of the family's 1533-position model. The record is from RNAcentral.